This 802-nucleotide long non-coding RNA is filed under the name Piliocolobus tephrosceles (Ugandan red Colobus). Its description in RNAcentral is "lncRNA (ENSPTEG00000007472.1)". The record is from RNAcentral. Lineage: Eukaryota; Metazoa; Chordata; Mammalia; Primates; Cercopithecidae.
UAUAUAUAUAUAUAUAUAUAUGCAUAUUUAAAAAUGCUAAUGUUAAAGUGAUAAAAAUUAAAUGAAAAAACACUCUAAUAAAAAAGUUAUAAAAAAAUACGUAUGUAUGUACAUAUAUAUAUUACAAAGUAGCAUUAAAAAAAUGAUUUAAAUUUCAAGUGCUAAUCAAGUAACAGUCAUGAAAUUAACAAUUUUAUAAACAGACAUACAUACAUUACAUAUAUGUAUGUGCAUUUCUUUCUAUCCAAAUGCUUAUUCAUUAUGUAUCAGACUGUUUAUGCUUAAUGCAAAUCUACCCUAUGAACUUUAAACUAUAUUUUUUACUUUUUAGCAUUUAAAAUGAUAAAUAUGUACAUAUAUAUAUAUGUAUAUAAACUUUCAAUUUAUAAAAUAAUAUGUUUUCCUUUUAUACUUUAUUCAAUAGGGUUGUUUGUGAAAUAUUAGAGAAGGGUGAAUGCAAUAAAUUUACAAUAAAAUUGGAGGAUCAUACAAUAGGAAACAUAAUAAAUGAAGCACUUUGUCAUGACCCUGAGGUUACAUUUUCCGCAUUUAGAAAACCACAUCCUCUUCGAAAUGAAAUUGAGAUAACUAUGAAGCCAAUGGGAUAUGCAGGUGUGAAAUUACUUGCAGACAACAUUAUUAGUUUGGCCGAUGAUGUGUCUAAUAUGAGAAAAGAUUUUAUCAGAAAAGUUCAAAGUUUUAAAGCCAAAAAGGCAUUUUAUGAUGAUUAUUAAAACAUUGGAAUAUUUUAUAUGAUAUACCCAUUUUUGUUUUCCAAUAAUUUACUACACACGUUCAUACA